CCUACGGGCGGCAGCAGUGGGGGAUAUUGCACAAUGGGGGAAACCCUGAUGCAGCGACGCCGCGUGGGUGAAGAAGCGCCUCGGCGCGUAAAGCCCUGUCAGCAGGGAAGAAAAUGACGGUACCUGAAGAAGAAGCCCCGGCUAACUACGUGCCAGCAGCCGCGGUAAUACGUAGGGGGCAAGCGUUAUCCGGAUUUACUGGGUGUAAAGGGGGCGCAGACGGUCCUGCAAGUCUGGAGUGAAACGCAUGAGCUCAACUCAUGCAUGGCUUUGGAAACUGGAGGACUGGAGAGCAGGAGAGGGCGGUGGAACUCCAUGUGUAGCGGUAAAAUGCGUAGAUAUAUGGAAGAACACCAGUGGCGAAGGCGGCCGCCUGGCCUGUUGCUGACGCUGAGGCACGAAAGCGUGGGGAGCAAAUAGGAUUAGAUACCCCGGUAGUC
This 440-nucleotide ribosomal RNA is filed under the name uncultured bacterium. RNAcentral's name for it is "partial 16S ribosomal RNA". It matches the Rfam family "Bacterial small subunit ribosomal RNA", at positions 338 to 795 of the family's 1533-position model. The record is from RNAcentral.